AAUUUGUAGAGGAUGCUUUUGGUGCGGUGCCUUCCGAGUUCCCUGGAACGGGACGCCUUAGAGGGUGAGAGCCCCGUACGGUUGGACGCCUAGCCUCUGUAAAGCUCCUUCGACGAGUCGAGUAGUUUGGGAAUGCUGCUCUAAAUGGGAGGUAUAUUUCUUCUAAAGCUAAAUACUGGCCAGAGACCGAUAGCGCACAAGUAGAGUGAUCGAAAGAUGAAAAGCACUUUGAAAAGAGGGUUAAAUAGCACGUGAAAUUGUUGAAAGGGAAGCGUUUAUCACCAGACUUUUUCUGGGGGGAUCAUCCGGUGUUCUCACCGGUGCACUUCCCCCAGUUGAGGCCAGCAUCGGUUUUCGGAGGGGGAUAAAAGCUUCGGGAAUGUGACUCCCUCGGGAGUGUUAUAGCCCGUUGCAUAAUACCCUUCUGGGGACCGAGGUUCGCGCAUCUGC
RNAcentral lists this ribosomal RNA (450 nucleotides) under fungal endophyte sp. DM178. Its description in RNAcentral is "eukaryotic LSU rRNA". It matches the Rfam family "Eukaryotic large subunit ribosomal RNA", at positions 147 to 606 of the family's 3401-position model. Lineage: Eukaryota; Fungi. The record is from RNAcentral.